AGAGUUUGAUCAUGGCUCAGAACGAACGCUGGCGGCAUGGAUUAGGCAUGCAAGUCGAACGCUUGUAGCAAUACAGGAGUGGCGAAAGGGUGAGGAACACGUGAGUAACCUACCCUCAAGUUGGGAAUAACACCGGGAAACUGGUGCCAAUACCGAAUGUGGCUGUAGAACCGCAUGGUUCAACAGCUAAAGAUUUAUCGCUUGAGGAGGGGCUCGCGUCCCAUUAGCUAGUUGGUGAGGUAACGGCUCACCAAGGCAACGAUGGGUAGCUGGUCUGAGAGGAUGGCCAGCCACACUGGGACUGAGACACUGCCCAGACUCCUACGGGAGGCUGCAGUCGAGAAUCUUGGGCAAUGCGCGAAAGCGUGACCCAGCAAUGCCGCGUGCAGGAUGAAGGCCUUCGGGUUGUAACUGCUGUCACCCGGGACGAAGAAUUGACGGUACCGGGAGAGGAAGCCACGGCUAACUACGUGCCAGCAGCCGCGGUAAUACGUAGGUGGCGAGCGUUGUUCGGAUUUAUUGGGCGUAAAGGGUCUGUAGGGGGUUUGCUAAGUCUGAUGUGAAAUCCCGUGGCUCAACCACGGAACUGCAUUGGAGACUGGCGGACUAGAGUUCUGGAGAGGUAAGCGGAAUUCCAGGUGUAGCGGUGGAAUGCGUAGAUAUCUGGAAGAACACCGAUAGCGAAGG
RNAcentral lists this ribosomal RNA (687 nucleotides) under uncultured bacterium. RNAcentral describes it as "bacterial SSU rRNA". It matches the Rfam family "Bacterial small subunit ribosomal RNA", at positions 8 to 721 of the family's 1533-position model. The record is from RNAcentral.